CAACUCUCAACAACGGAUAUCUUGGCUCCCGCACCGAUGAAGAACGCAGCGAAAUGCGAUACCUAGUGUGAAUUGCAGAAUCAUGUGAAUCAUCGAGUUUUUGAACGCAAAUUGCGCCCGAGGUCUAGGCCAAGGGCAUAGCUGGCUCAGCGUCGACGC
This 159-nucleotide ribosomal RNA is filed under the name Botryococcus braunii. RNAcentral describes it as "5.8S ribosomal RNA". It matches the Rfam family "5.8S ribosomal RNA". Rfam says of the family: 5.8S ribosomal RNA (5.8S rRNA) is a component of the large subunit of the eukaryotic ribosome. It is transcribed by RNA polymerase I as part of the 45S precursor that also contains 18S and 28S rRNA. RNAcentral also lists the same sequence under 1 other name. Lineage: Eukaryota; Viridiplantae; Chlorophyta; Trebouxiophyceae. The record is from RNAcentral.